UGGGGAAUUUUGGACAAUGGGGGCAACCCUGAUCCAGCAAUGCCGCGUGUGUGAAGAAGGCCUUCGGGUUGUAAAGCACUUUUGUCCGGAAAGAAAACGCCGUGGUUAAUACCCGUGGCGGAUGACGGUACCGGAAGAAUAAGCACCGGCUAACUACGUGCCAGCAGCCGCGGUAAUACGUAGGGUGCAAGCGUUAAUCGGAAUUACUGGGCGUAAAGCGUGCGCAGGCGGUCCGCUAAGACAGAUGUGAAAUCCCCGGGCUUAACCUGGGAACUGCAUUUGUGACUGGCGGGCUAGAGUAUGGCAGAGGGGGGUAGAAUUCCACGUGUAGCAGUGAAAUGCGUAGAGAUGUGGAGGAAUACCGAUGGCGAAGGCAGCCCCCUGGG
RNAcentral lists this ribosomal RNA (386 nucleotides) under uncultured bacterium. Its description in RNAcentral is "partial 16S ribosomal RNA". It matches the Rfam family "Bacterial small subunit ribosomal RNA", at positions 355 to 733 of the family's 1533-position model. The record is from RNAcentral.